This 260-nucleotide long non-coding RNA is filed under the name Setaria viridis. RNAcentral's name for it is "long non-coding RNA (SVIR_LNC007044)". Lineage: Eukaryota; Viridiplantae; Streptophyta; Magnoliopsida; Poales; Poaceae. The record is from RNAcentral.
UUCGUUCCAAAAUUUCAUAGGGACCAAUAUACCUCGGGGCUAACUUACCCUUUACUCCAAAGUGCUGUAUGCCUUUCAUUGGGGAUACCUUUAAGUAUACAAAAUCUCCGGCAUAAAAUUCCAAGGAUCGUCUUCUUUUGUCCGAAUAACUCUUUUGCCGGGACUGGGCUACUUCUAAAUGCUUUCGAAUCUUCUAGACCUUCCCCUCGGUCUCCAUAACCAAGUCCGAUCCCAAAUAUGUCCUUUCUCCUACUUCCGAC